This 73-nucleotide transfer RNA is filed under the name Nemania diffusa. RNAcentral describes it as "tRNA-Arg". It matches the Rfam family "tRNA". Rfam says of the family: Transfer RNA (tRNA) molecules are approximately 80 nucleotides in length. The record is from RNAcentral. Lineage: Eukaryota; Fungi; Ascomycota; Sordariomycetes; Xylariales; Xylariaceae.
AGGUAUGUUAAUUCAAUGGUAGAAUGUAGUACUACGGUUACUAUUAUAUAAGUUCGAAUCUUAUACAUACUUA